GGAUGAGUUCGCGGCCCAUUAGCUAGUUGGCGGGGUAAAGGCCCACCAAGGCAACGAUGGGUAGCCGGCCUGAGAGGGUGAUCGGCCACAUUGGGACUGAGAUACGGCCCAGACUCCUACGGGAGGCAGCAGUAGGGAAUUUUGCGCAAUGGACGAAAGUCUGACGCAGCAACACCGUGUGAGGGAUGAAGCAUUUCGGUGUGUAAACCUCUGUCGAUGAUGAAUAAAGCAGGGGGGAGUGGAAAGCCUCCGUGUUGAAGGUAAUCAUGAAGGAAGCACCGGCUAACUCUGUGCCAGCAGCCGCGGUAAUACAGGGGGUGCAAGCGUUGUUCGGAAUCACUGGGCGUAAAGGGAGCGUAGGCGGAACUACAAGACAGAGGUUAAAUCUCCGGGCUCAACCUGGAACUUGCCUUUGUGACUGUGGUUCUUGAGUAUGGUAGAGGUUGGCGGAAUUUCCGGUGUAGCGGUGGAAUGCGUAGAGAUCGGAAAGAACACCAGAGGCGAAGGCGGCCAACUGGACCAAUACUGACGCUGAGGCUCGAAAGCGUGGGGAGCAAACAGGAUUAGAUACCCUGGUAGUCCACGCUGUAAACGAUGAACACUAGAUGUCGGGAGGGGUUCCUUCCGGUGUCGUCGCUAACGCAGUAAGUGUUCCGCCUGGGGAGUACGCUCGCAAGGGUG
RNAcentral lists this ribosomal RNA (681 nucleotides) under uncultured bacterium. Its description in RNAcentral is "bacterial SSU rRNA". It matches the Rfam family "Bacterial small subunit ribosomal RNA", at positions 223 to 896 of the family's 1533-position model. The record is from RNAcentral.